This 1104-nucleotide long non-coding RNA is filed under the name Chrysolophus pictus (golden pheasant). Its description in RNAcentral is "lncRNA (ENSCPIG00010006603.1)". Lineage: Eukaryota; Metazoa; Chordata; Aves; Galliformes; Phasianidae. The record is from RNAcentral.
GCGGAAACACAUGCAGCUAGUGGAGAAGCUGGAUGAGAGUUCCGUGUAGGACCGGGGUUCCACCAGUCCCUUCUCCCACCCCUGCCAGCAGUGUUACAGACUCAGCGAAACUACCUCUGGGUCCACAGCGCCGGGCUGGGCCCGGGCUUGGCCAUCCCUUUGGCUUUUCAUUCACUUUUGAGACUUGAUGUACAGAAAAAAAAAAAAAAAAAAACAGUGGGAAAAGAAAGGGAAAAAUAUUCCCCAAAGAAGAAUCUAUUUAAAUUUGGGAGCUCUAUUUAUGUAUAAAAACCCACCGAUGGUGACCACAAGCUGGAGGCAGGAGCUGGAGCACAGCUGACAGUGGACAUGGGGAGGGAGGGCUUAUGUCUGUCUGUCCAUGUGUCCAUCCAGGCAGGCAAGACCCUGUCCUGGUUGUGUGGACCUGGCCCACCCCAUUGGGCAUCCCCAGCUCUGGGUGCCCAGGCACUGAGAGGGCUGCCUGCAGGAAAGAUGCUCAGCGAGGGACUACGAGGAAGAGGAGAGCUGUCCCCACAAGUGGGAUGAAACUGCCUGUGCCCGCCAUCAGCCCAGGGGUGCUGCUGGCAGCAGGACUGCUCUCCGUGCCUGAGGGCCACACACACCAGUUGGCUCGUCUGCAUCUUCGCCAUGCGGUGUGGGAAGGGACCAGCGUCCUCUCGGCAUCCUUGCCCUGCAGACUGGACACGAUGCACUUUUGCAUCCUCAUGCAGUGCCAGCAGAUGCUGGGAUCUUGGCCGCUGCCCCGUGCCACGGACUGUCCCCUCGCACGCUGAGGAGCCCUGCCCCAGGCUUGCUCCCUGCGGGGCCUCCAGCUCCCCGUGGCCCUGCUGGCCCUGACUCCCUCUCCCCCCUCAUCUACCUCUGCUCCCUCACCCUGGGGACAAGAGGACACCCCAGCUCUGUCCCUCCGUGUCCCCCUCUGUCACCCCCUGGACUGAGGGCAUCGCCCAGAGCGCGGCCCCCUCCCCACCGGGCAUUCCCUUCCCUCUCUGGGGCGGACGAGCCACCCCCAGGGCGCAUCGCAUUCCUCCGGUACGGCCCCAGGGCAAUAAAGGCGACGGCUCUGCGUGGAAGCGGCGGUGC